RNAcentral lists this ribosomal RNA (1565 nucleotides) under Escherichia coli. RNAcentral describes it as "partial 23S ribosomal RNA". It matches the Rfam family "Bacterial large subunit ribosomal RNA", at positions 711 to 2259 of the family's 2925-position model. Lineage: Bacteria; Pseudomonadati; Pseudomonadota; Gammaproteobacteria; Enterobacterales; Enterobacteriaceae. The record is from RNAcentral.
AGACCCGAAACCCGGUGAUCUAGCCAUGGGCAGGUUGAAGGUUGGGUAACACUAACUGGAGGACCGAACCGACUAAUGUUGAAAAAUUAGCGGAUGACUUGUGGCUGGGGGUGAAAGGCCAAUCAAACCGGGAGAUAGCUGGUUCUCCCCGAAAGCUAUUUAGGUAGCGCCUCGUGAAUUCAUCUCCGGGGGUAGAGCACUGUUUCGGCAAGGGGGUCAUCCCGACUUACCAACCCGAUGCAAACUGCGAAUACCGGAGAAUGUUAUCACGGGAGACACACGGCGGGUGCUAACGUCCGUCGUGAAGAGGGAAACAACCCAGACCGCCAGCUAAGGUCCCAAAGUCAUGGUUAAGUGGGAAACGAUGUGGGAAGGCCCAGACAGCCAGGAUGUUGGCUUAGAAGCAGCCAUCAUUUAAAGAAAGCGUAAUAGCUCACUGGUCGAGUCGGCCUGCGCGGAAGAUGUAACGGGGCUAAACCAUGCACCGAAGCUGCGGCAGCGACACUGUGUGUUGUUGGGUAGGGGAGCGUUCUGUAAGCCUGUGAAGGUGUGCUGUGAGGCAUGCUGGAGGUAUCAGAAGUGCGAAUGCUGACAUAAGUAACGAUAAAGCGGGUGAAAAGCCCGCUCGCCGGAAGACCAAGGGUUCCUGUCCAACGUUAAUCGGGGCAGGGUGAGUCGACCCCUAAGGCGAGGCCGAAAGGCGUAGUCGAUGGGAAACAGGUUAAUAUUCCUGUACUUGGUGUUACUGCGAAGGGGGGACGGAGAAGGCUAUGUUGGCCGGGCGACGGUUGUCCCGGUUUAAGCGUGUAGGCUGGUUUUCCAGGCAAAUCCGGAAAAUCAAGGCUGAGGCGUGAUGACGAGGCACUACGGUGCUGAAGCAACAAAUGCCCUGCUUCCAGGAAAAGCCUCUAAGCAUCAGGUAACAUCAAAUCGUACCCCAAACCGACACAGGUGGUCAGGUAGAGAAUACCAAGGCGCUUGAGAGAACUCGGGUGAAGGAACUAGGCAAAAUGGUGCCGUAACUUCGGGAGAAGGCACGCUGAUAUGUAGGUGAAGUCCCUCGCGGAUGGAGCUGAAAUCAGUCGAAGAUACCAGCUGGCUGCAACUGUUUAUUAAAAACACAGCACUGUGCAAACACGAAAGUGGACGUAUACGGUGUGACGCCUGCCCGGUGCCGGAAGGUUAAUUGAUGGGGUCAGCGCAAGCGAAGCUCUUGAUCGAAGCCCCGGUAAACGGCGGCCGUAACUAUAACGGUCCUAAGGUAGCGAAAUUCCUUGUCGGGUAAGUUCCGACCUGCACGAAUGGCGUAAUGAUGGCCAGGCUGUCUCCACCCGAGACUCAGUGAAAUUGAACUCGCUGUGAAGAUGCAGUGUACCCGCGGCAAGACGGAAAGACCCCGUGAACCUUUACUAUAGCUUGACACUGAACAUUGAGCCUUGAUGUGUAGGAUAGGUGGGAGGCUUUGAAGUGUGGACGCCAGUCUGCAUGGAGCCGACCUUGAAAUACCACCCUUUAAUGUUUGAUGUUCUAACGUGGACCCGUGAUCCGGGUUGCGGACAGUGUCU